Molecule: ribosomal RNA, 479 nt
Filed under: uncultured bacterium
Lineage: Bacteria
Description: SSU rRNA
Rfam family: Bacterial small subunit ribosomal RNA
Source: RNAcentral
AGGACGAACGCUGGCGGCGUGCUUAACACAUGCAAGUGGAGCGACGAACCAGGGCUUGCCCUGGGGCAGAGCCGCGAACGGGUGAGUAACACGUGGGCAACCUGCCCCUAGCACUGGGAUAACCCCGGGAAACCGGGGCUAAUACCGGAUACGACUUCGGAAGGCAUCUUCUGAAGUGGAAAAGGUUACUGGCUAGGGAUGGGCCCGCGGCCUAUCAGCUUGUUGGUGGGGUAAUGGCCCACCAAGGCGACGACGGGUAGCCGGCCUGAGAGGGCGACCGGCCACACUGGGACUGAGACACGGCCCAGACUCCUACGGGAGGCAGCAGUGGGGAAUAUUGCACAAUGGGCGAAAGCCUGAUGCAGCGACGCCGCGUGAGGGAUGACGGCCUUCGGGUUGUAAACCUCUUUCAGCAGGGACGAAGCGAAAGUGACGGUACCUGCAGAAGAAGCACCGGCCAACUACGUGCCAGCAGCCGC